Molecule: ribosomal RNA, 549 nt
Filed under: Prasinococcus sp. RCC388
Lineage: Eukaryota; Viridiplantae; Prasinodermophyta; Palmophyllophyceae; Prasinococcales; Prasinococcaceae
Description: SSU rRNA
Rfam family: Eukaryotic small subunit ribosomal RNA
Source: RNAcentral
UAUAGCGUAUAUUUAAGUUGUUGCAGUUAAAAAGCUCGUAGUUGGAUUUUGGGUCGGAGCGACCGGUCCGCCGUUCCGGUGUGCACUGGUGGCUUCUUCCUUCUUGCCGGGGACUGCGUCUGGCAUUCGUUUGCUGGGCGUAGGAGUCGGCGUGGUUACUUUGAGUAAAUUAGAGUGUUCAAAGCAAGCUUGUGCUCUGCAUACUUUAGCAUGGAAUAACAUUAUAGGACUCUGGUUCUAUUUUGUUGGUUUUCGGAGCCGGAGUAAUGAUUAAUAGGGACAGUCGGGGGCAUCCGUAUUUCAUUGUCAGAGGUGAAAUUCUUGGAUUUAUGAAAGACGAACUUCUGCGAAAGCAUUGCCAAGGAUGUUUUCAUUAAUCAAGAACGAAAGUUGGGAGCUCGAAGAUGAUCAGAUACCAUCCUAGUCUCAACCAUAAACGAUGCCGACUAGGGAUUGGCGGAUGUUAAUCGAUGACUUCGCCAGCACCUUAUGAGAAAUCAAAGUCUUUGGGUUCCGGGGGGAGUAUGGUCGCAAGGCUGAAACUUAAAG